This 775-nucleotide unclassified non-coding RNA is filed under the name Drosophila pseudoobscura pseudoobscura. RNAcentral describes it as "GA31939". Lineage: Eukaryota; Metazoa; Arthropoda; Insecta; Diptera; Drosophilidae. The record is from RNAcentral.
CACCGUUGCCGCCGAAGUUUUAUCACAGAUUGUGAUAAUUUUGUAGUGGGGUGUCGGAGAACCGACUAAUUACGAUAAUAACAAUGGGGGGGGGAAGAAAGGGUUAAAGAAAUGAGAUCGAAAAUUCAGAAAGUGCAGUGUUGCAACACGUAGUCAAUUGAGGAAUAGAUAAAGAGAAAAAGGUAAACAAUGCAUGUGCUUUGCGUGGGAAAUAAGUGGAAAGACACUAAAUAAAAUAGAGACAAGCACUUGCAGAAAUAACAAUACAGGUAAGUAGCAGACUGGAGUGGAGACGACGGAAAACAGGUAAUAAAAGAGAUACUACACUGGAACAAAGACGAGACAAAACAGCUACAGGGAAGACAAGAAGCAUCGGCCGGCAUAGCAAAACACAAUGCUUGUAAAGACAUUGCGUUGCAUACCGGCCGACCCCGUCGUCCCCCCUGGUCGUCGAAAUUGGCGCCAUCCGAGGUCGUCAGAGGUAGCUGCAAUUAGCACCUCGUCGUCGUUGUGGCUGUGGCUGCCCGCUUGGAGAACCAGUGGCACUGGUCCGGCCACCAGCUGGGAGCCAGGAAAAGACGGCACGCAUAUUACUGUGGCGACACGGGUCCGGCCGCCAAAGUGAAAUGGAUUGGCAGAGAUGUGUCCAAUCAGUACACAGCGUUCCAGGAUAUCUGGUUGUCAAGAUGGUACCUCAUGUUGCGGGCGUAGGCCUUAAUGUCAUCCAUGGAGUCGUCAUCUGUCCACAUCUCAUCGUCAUCAUUUUCUUCGUCCG